UGCUUUCCUCCCCGUCUCCUCUCUCUUGCAAUCUCCUCCGCCAACACCCAAUCCCGGCCGCCUCCGCCGCCGAUUGGCGCCACCAUGACGCUGCUCGUCUCUUCGUACUCCGAUUCCACGGCUAACCCUAUACGCCCAAUGCCUCCGCCUGGCCGCAAAGAAGCCGUCCGCUCCAAGGUGCUCGGUGGGGAUUCGUUCUGGCGCCCAUUCAUCUCUCGCGGGAACCGGAAGAGCUGCAGGGUACAUGGUGCGUGCUGGCCGCCCGAGGUGUGCUCUGGCUGUAUGGGCUGCGGUGGCGAAGCUUGCCGCUGAAGUAAGGGAACCGGAUGCGGGUGAGCUCGAGCGCGUAUCAUGCUUCAGAUAAGUGGUUAUGUUGACCAGAUCACCAGGGGAAUGGUAAAUUUGCUUUCCAGGUUUUGGAGUUGGACACAUGCGAGAUACCAAAACAAAAGGCAAGAUAGCCUGCCAAUGCCACCAGUGUAAUAUUCUUAAAAGUCUCAUGCCCUGACGCACGUAUUCUAAUUGGGGGUAUCAACACACAGUUCCACAUUUUUAAGGUAUAUGGAUUUGGGGCACUCCUGUUGAAGUUGAUGGCUUCAAAGUGUCCGUCCUUUACCUGAACAAGGAUUUGAGAGCAUUGGAAAUUUAAUAGUAAAGAUUAUUAAUUUCUCAUUCAGAUGUGUUUUGGGGCCUUUUGUUUUCAUCUUAGGAUAUUUUCUCUUGUAAUUUUUUAUACUUCUCUUCUUGUCUACAAUCUCCCUGAGAGAAUGCAUUUCUAUGGUCUUUGAUGCCUUCAGUCCCUCACCGCAACUCAUAUUUGAUACUCUGCUUUAACUAAAUACUCUGCUUUAACUAAAUAAGCAUCUCCUUGUCUUAGUAUGAGCUUGAUAUACAAACUGAACAACACGUUGAACAUGAAGAUCUGGGAGAGGGAGCAACCCACAUCCUGUGUUGGAAAAAUAAAGGAAAACGAUGAGGAUGAGACCUACGGUGGUUGAAAUCAAUCAACCUGAAAACAGUACUGUUCAUCUGCUCCCUAUGACCUGAUGCAAUCUCCUGAGACCAAGGCACUGGGCUUUGCUGCAGGAUUUAGAUCUUCCUAUCUAUUUGCCUACGUGUUUGGUAUACUUUUCACCCUCUCAUGUUUCCGUUUCCACAAAACAGAAUCUGAUGUUGAAUACUACCAUUUUCAAGGUAUCGGGAUGUACAAUACGUAGAAACUGGUGCCACAGGAGGCCUAUCACAUUGGAUGUUCUUCCUAUGAAUUCAUCAUCUUGAUGGUGCUUAUAAUUAGAGCUGCUGCUUGGUUUUUUCCCUGGAUCAUCCAAAAUUCUUCGAUGUUUAAUGGGGAUUUUGUGGAACAACUCAUUCACGGACGCGUGUGUGACGGCGUUGAGUAUGUGUGGCCAGGGAUGGAGUUGACAGGGAGUGGCAGCAAGCGGUGGGUGGUCAUCCUAGCGAGCCAGGGCUUCGGCGAGAACAUCGCCGACUUCGGAGACGAUGACGUAAUCUACUCCGCCUCCAUAGGCGGGUCGCGUGGAACCGCCUUCUGUUCGGACCUGGAACCGUCCUGUCUUGACUCUUCAAUCCCGUCGACCCGGAGUCUAGCAUCGUCACCUGAAAGUGGGUGAGAGCCUGGACGUCGCCCACAGAGAAGCAUGGUGCUCAUCGAGUAGUGUGCAUCCACUGGCUCAACAAUAUUAGGUGCAUAACUUCUAUGGCAACACCUUUUUUGCGGAUAAUCUAUGGCAACACCUUGUAGUAUUGACAAUGAUCACGCUACUCAGGUCGUCUUCUCAAGUCUUGAAGUAUAUAUGAUCGCCAUAAUUUUUAUCUUUGUAGCAUCUAAAAGUUCUCAGGUUUUGUCUAUUUUCCAUUUAGUUUCCAUGGCCUGUUCUAAGAACACGCAAGGGGGUAAUUCGCUCAGAAAUAUGAAGUGCAAGUAUACGCAUUUAGUAGUUGCAGGAACUGAGACAAAGGCCAAAUAUAGCAUGCUUGGUAGGAGAACUACGCAAUUAACGUUGGAGCUGUUGGCAGAAAUAAAUGGGGAACACCAAACACUGGCCUAACAUUCCUGUGAUGUGGGGGUGGAGGAGACAAGGUUUGAUCCGUUAUGGAGACCAAAGGUUACUUGAUUGUCUGGAGAGAGAAAGAAAGUUGUAACAUAUGAUCGUAAACAGUAACACAUGCAGAAAGUAGGAAGAUCGGAAUAGGCUAGAUAAUCUAAAAAAAAGGAAGAGGCUAAAUUG
Lolium rigidum is the source of this 2249-nucleotide long non-coding RNA. RefSeq lists it as uncharacterized. NCBI's taxonomy places the organism in Eukaryota, Viridiplantae, Streptophyta, Magnoliopsida, Poales, Poaceae. The transcript has 7 exons. The record is from RefSeq and is a predicted model, not a curated record.